ACAGGAAACAGCUUGCUGUUUCGCUGACGAGUGGCGGACGGGUGAGUAAUGUCUGGGAAACUGCCUGAUGGAGGGGGAUAACUACUGGAAACGGUAGCUAAUACCGCAUAACGUCGCAAGACCAAAGAGGGGGACCUUCGGGCCUCUUGCCAUCAGAUGUGCCCAGAUGGGAUUAGCUAGUAGGUGGGGUAACGGCUCACCUAGGCGACGAUCCCUAGCUGGUCUGAGAGGAUGACCAGCCACACUGGAACUGAGACACGGUCCAGACUCCUACGGGAGGCAGCAGUGGGGAAUAUUGCACAAUGGGCGCAAGCCUGAUGCAGCCAUGCCGCGUGUAUGAAGAAGGCCUUCGGGUUGUAAAGUACUUUCAGCGGGGAGGAAGGGAGUAAAGUUAGUACCUUUGCUCAUUGACGUUACCCGCAGAAGAAGCACCGGCUAACUCCGUGCCAGCAGCCGCGGUAAUACGGAGGGUGCAAGCGUUAAUCGGAAUUACUGGGCGUAAAGCGCACGCAGGCGGUUUGUUAAGUCAGAUGUGAAAUCCCCGGGCUCAACCUGGGAACUGCAUCUGAUACU
RNAcentral lists this ribosomal RNA (573 nucleotides) under uncultured Pseudomonadota bacterium. RNAcentral's name for it is "bacterial SSU rRNA". It matches the Rfam family "Bacterial small subunit ribosomal RNA", at positions 69 to 634 of the family's 1533-position model. Lineage: Bacteria; Pseudomonadati; Pseudomonadota. The record is from RNAcentral.